GAUGAACGCUGGCGGCGUGCCUAAUACAUGCAAGUCGAGCGAACGGACGAGAAGCUUGCUUUUCUGAUGUUAGCGGCGGACGGGUGAGUAACACGUGGAUAACCUACCUAUAAGACUGGGAUAACUUCGGGAAACCGGAGCUAAUACCGGAUAAUAUUUUGAACCGCAUGGUUCAAAAGUGAAAGACGGUCUUGCUGUCACUUAUAGAUGGAUCCGCGCUGCAUUAGCUAGUUGGUAAGGUAACGGCUUACCAAGGCAACGAUGCAUAGCCGACCUGAGAGGGUGAUCGGCCACACUGGAACUGGGACACGGUCCAGACUCCUACGGGAGGCAGCAGUAGGGAAUCUUCCGCAAUGGGCGAAAGCCUGGCGGAGCAACGCCGCGUGAGUGAUGAAGGUCUUCGGAUCGUAAAACUCUGUUAUUAGGGAAGAACAUAUGUGUAAGUAACUGUGCACAUCUUGACGGUACCUAAUCAGAAAGCCACGGCUAACUACGUG
Molecule: ribosomal RNA, 497 nt
Filed under: uncultured bacterium
Lineage: Bacteria
Description: partial 16S ribosomal RNA
Rfam family: Bacterial small subunit ribosomal RNA
Source: RNAcentral